Molecule: ribosomal RNA, 169 nt
Filed under: Priacanthus zaiserae (Miyake bigeye)
Lineage: Eukaryota; Metazoa; Chordata; Actinopteri; Priacanthiformes; Priacanthidae
Description: partial 12S rRNA
Source: RNAcentral
CACCGCGGUUAGACGGGCUGACCCAAGUUGAUAACCAACGGCGUAAAGAGUGGUUAAGAUAAACUUGUACUAAAGCCGAAUGCCUCCCCGACUGUUAUACGCGCCCGGAGGAAUGAAGCCCAUCCACGAAAGUAGCUUUAUAAUGUCUGAUCCCACGAAAGCUAGGGCA